This 477-nucleotide ribosomal RNA is filed under the name uncultured bacterium. RNAcentral's name for it is "bacterial SSU rRNA". It matches the Rfam family "Bacterial small subunit ribosomal RNA", at positions 328 to 793 of the family's 1533-position model. The record is from RNAcentral.
UGACAGUACUCCUACGGGGAGGCAGCAGUGGGGGAAUAUUGCACAAUGGGCGCAAGCCUGAUGCAGCCAUGCCGCGUGUAUGAAGAAGGCCUUCGGGUUGUAAAGUACUUUCAGCAGUGAGGAAGGUUCAUACGUUAAUAGCGUAUGGAUUUGACGUUAGCUGCAGAAGAAGCACCGGCUAACUCCGUGCCAGCAGCCGCGGUAAUACGGAGGGUGCGAGCGUUAAUCGGAAUUACUGGGCGUAAAGCGCAUGCAGGUGGUUUGUUAAGUCAGAUGUGAAAGACCCGGGGCUCAACCUCGGAAUAGCAUUUGAAACUGGCAGACUAGAGUACUGUAGAGGGGGGUAGGAAUUUCAGGUGUAGCGGUGAAAUGCGUAGAGAUCUGAAGGAAUACCGGUGGCGAAGGCGGCCCCCUGGACAGAUACUGACACUCAGAUGCGAAAGCGUGGGGAGCAAACAGGAUUAGAUACCCUGGUAG